Molecule: long non-coding RNA, 405 nt
Organism: Jatropha curcas
Lineage: Eukaryota; Viridiplantae; Streptophyta; Magnoliopsida; Malpighiales; Euphorbiaceae
Source: RefSeq, a predicted model, not a curated record
UCUCCUCCUCCCAUUUCUCUCUUUUCUUUCUUUUUCUUCUUCUUUCUUCUCUUCAUUACCAUAACUGAACCAUCUUCUUCUCCCUAAUCAAACACUUAUGUUUCUUCACCAAAAUAAGAUAUUAUGGAGCACUAAAGGCAUAUUCCACGGUUUUGAAGUUUAUUUUGCAAGAUCAAACAUUUAAGAAGGGAGAGACCUCCAAGUCCAAAGGAAAGGAGAAGAUUGGAGCAUAAAAAGAUUGAGGUUGCUGAAUCGGGGUAGGUGAUCCACAGUAGAAUCAAACUAUUCAGAGGCCUCUUAUUUCACUGCAGUUAGUUUUCAAUGGUGUCUCUUUUAUUUUUUUAGUCUUUAGAAAAAGCUAGCGGCAUGUAAAUAUAAUUAAGGCACUAGAAUAUUUUUAUUUAA